RNAcentral lists this transfer RNA (73 nucleotides) under Bacteroidales bacterium. RNAcentral describes it as "tRNA-Met". It matches the Rfam family "tRNA". From Rfam's summary of the family: Transfer RNA (tRNA) molecules are approximately 80 nucleotides in length. Their secondary structure includes four short double-helical elements and three loops (D, anti-codon, and T loops). RNAcentral also lists the same sequence under 1 other name. The record is from RNAcentral. Lineage: Bacteria; Pseudomonadati; Bacteroidota; Bacteroidia; Bacteroidales.
UGCGGGGUGGAGCAGUUGGUAGCUCGUCGGGCUCAUAACCCGAAGGCCGUGGGUUCGAGUCCUACCCCCGCUA